This 401-nucleotide long non-coding RNA is filed under the name Rattus norvegicus (Norway rat). Its description in RNAcentral is "long non-coding RNA NONRATT028815". Lineage: Eukaryota; Metazoa; Chordata; Mammalia; Rodentia; Muridae. The record is from RNAcentral.
CAGGGAGGCCAUCUGUACUCAGCCAGCCGGCACCUAGGCCUAAUUAUUUUUCAUAUUUCAGUCAUUUUAUUUCUUUAAGUGUGACUUGGUAUUGUUCUGAGACUUUUCAGAAUUACCAGUACACAGAGCCAGGAUGAAUUUGGAGAUUAAACAUGCUAUCUUGGUUUUGUGGAUUUUUCUCCAAGUUCAAGGAAUCAAAGAUACCUCUACUAAAACACACAGUUCUGGAACUAAAAACAUAGACAAAGCCCCAAGAAUUGAAACAACUGAAAGCACUUCAGCAGUGCACAAAGCGUCAACCAUGAAACGACUGUUCGCUGUGGCAAAGCUUCGAAACAAAAGAUCGGCACUGUUCCCAGCUGUGAACAUCUGUCUGCGGGAAUCCUUGAGGCAGAUUUUAG